RNAcentral lists this ribosomal RNA (492 nucleotides) under uncultured bacterium. RNAcentral describes it as "partial 16S ribosomal RNA". It matches the Rfam family "Bacterial small subunit ribosomal RNA", at positions 29 to 507 of the family's 1533-position model. The record is from RNAcentral.
AGUGAACGCUGGCGGUAGGCCUAACACAUGCAAGUCGAACGGCAGCACAGUAAGAGCUUGCUCUUACGGGUGGCGAGUGGCGGACGGGUGAGGAAUACAUCGGAAUCUACUUUUUCGUGGGGGAUAACGUAGGGAAACUUACGCUAAUACCGCAUACUACCUACGGGUGAAAGCAGGGGCUCUUCGGACCUUGCGCGAUUGAAUGAGCCGAUGUCGGAUUAGCUAGUUGGCGGGGUAAAGGCCCACCAAGGCGACGAUCCGUAGCUGGUCUGAGAGGAUGAUCAGCCACACUGGAACUGAGACACGGCCCAGACUCCUACGGGAGGCAGCAGUGGGGAAUAUUGGACAAAGGGCGCAAGCCUGAUCCAGCCAUACCGCGUGGGUGAAGAAGGCCUUCGGGUUGUAAAGCCCUUUUGUUGGGAAAGAAAAGCAGCAGGUUAAUACCCCGCUGUUCUGACGGUACCCAAAGAAUAAGCACCGGCUAACUUCGUG